CUAUGCUGCACGGACACUUCUAGAAGGUGAAGAGUCCCCGUAUCCGAUACCUGGACACUCGGAUACUCCCGGACACUUCUCGGACACCCGUGUCGGGCCGUGUCGUAAUUUCGCUAAAAGUAGGACACCCGUAUCGGGCAGUGUCCACAAUUUUAAAAAAGUUGGGACACUUCUCUUACGUUGUAAAGGAGAGCUCUAAUAAAAAAAAUGCGCAUUUUCUUUUCUCUGUAAUACACAUUUCAUCUGUUUUCUUUGUGAGUCCACCAAAAACUCCAAAAGUCUAGCAUGCGACGGCGAUCAAGAACACGAGCAACAAGGGCGAGUGGUUCUCUUAUGCGAUGACGACUUAUACAUAUUUUUUACAAUUUAUAAAUGUACCCCUAUAUUUUUAUUAUUUAUACAUAUACCCCUAUAUUUUUUAUAUUUACGCGUAUCCCCCACGUGUCCGUAUCCUAGUUUUUUGGAAAUGCCGUAUCACCGUGUCCGUAUCCGCGUAUCG
Molecule: long non-coding RNA, 499 nt
Filed under: Erythranthe guttata (spotted monkey flower)
Lineage: Eukaryota; Viridiplantae; Streptophyta; Magnoliopsida; Lamiales; Phrymaceae
Description: long non-coding RNA (EGUT_LNC000169)
Source: RNAcentral